GAUGAAGAACGCAGCGAAAUGCGAUAAGUAAUGUGAAUUGCAGAAUUCAGUGAAUCAUCGAAUCUUUGAACGCACCUUGCGCCCUUUGGCCAUUCCGAAGGGCAUGCCUGUUCGAGCGUCAUUAUAACCCCUCAAGCUCAGCUUGGUGUUGGGGCCUGCUGCACUGGCAGCCCUUAAAAUCAGUGGCGGCGCCAUCUGGCUCUAAGCGUAGUAAUUCUUCUCGCUAUGGAGUCCUGGUGGAUGCUUGCCAUCAACCCCCAAUUUUUCUAUGGUUGACCUCGGAUCAGGUAGGGAUACCCGCUGAACUUAAGCAUAUCAAUAAGCGGAGGA
RNAcentral lists this unclassified non-coding RNA (330 nucleotides) under soil metagenome. RNAcentral describes it as "partial contains 5.8S ribosomal RNA, internal transcribed spacer 2, and large subunit ribosomal RNA". The stretch from base 1 to 121 matches the Rfam family "5.8S ribosomal RNA", at positions 35 to 154 of the family's 154-position model. The record is from RNAcentral.